This 473-nucleotide ribosomal RNA is filed under the name uncultured bacterium. RNAcentral describes it as "bacterial SSU rRNA". It matches the Rfam family "Bacterial small subunit ribosomal RNA", at positions 355 to 825 of the family's 1533-position model. The record is from RNAcentral.
UGGGGAAUUUUUCGCAAUGGGCGAAAGCCUGACCCAGCAACGCCGCGUGUGGGAUGAAGGCCCUCGGGUCGUAAACCACUGUCAGGAGGAAAGAAAAGUCGGCCGGAUAAUACUCGGUCGACCUGACGGUACCUCCAAAGGAAGCACCGGCUAACUCCGUGCCAGCAGCCGCGGUAAUACGGAGGGUGCAAGCGUUGUUCGGAAUUACUGGGCGUAAAGCGCACGCAGGCGGUCCUUUAAGUCCACUGUUAAAUCCCGGGGCUCAACCCCGGAGAUGCAGUGGAUACUGAGGGACUGGAGACCGGUAGAGGCUAGCGGAAUUCCUGGUGUAGCGGUGGAAUGCGUAGAUAUCAGGAGGAACACCGGUGGCGAAGGCGGCCCACUGGCUCGGUACUGACACUGAGGUGCGAAAGCGUGGGGAGCAAACAGGAUUAGAUACCCGUGUAGUCCCUGAGCGGGCUGGCAAGGCGCAU